CCUACGGGAGGCUGCAGUGGGGAAUAUUGGACAAUGGGGGCAACCCUGAUCCAGCCAUGCCGCGUGUGUGAAGAAGGCCCUCGGGUUGUAAAGCACUUUCAGUGAGGAAGAACGCCUGGUGGUUAAUACCCAUCAGGAAAGACAUCACUCACAGAAGAAGCACCGGCUAACUCCGUGCCAGCAGCCGCGGUAAUACGGAGGGUGCGAGCGUUAAUCGGAAUUACUGGGCGUAAAGCGCGCGUAGGUGGCUUGAUAAGCCGGUUGUGAAAGCCCCGGGCUCAACCUGGGAACGGCAUCCGGAACUGUCAAGCUAGAGUGCAGGAGAGGAAGGUAGAAUUGCCGGUGUAGCGGUGAAAUGCGUAGAGAUCGGGAGGAAUACCAGUGGCGAAGGCGGCCUUCUGGACUGACACUGACACUGAGGUGCGAAAGCGUGGGUAGCAAACAGGAUUAGAUACCCGUGUAGUC
This 465-nucleotide ribosomal RNA is filed under the name Vreelandella stevensii. RNAcentral's name for it is "partial 16S ribosomal RNA". It matches the Rfam family "Bacterial small subunit ribosomal RNA", at positions 338 to 795 of the family's 1533-position model. Lineage: Bacteria; Pseudomonadati; Pseudomonadota; Gammaproteobacteria; Oceanospirillales; Halomonadaceae. The record is from RNAcentral.